Molecule: RNA transcript, 3800 nt
Organism: Alligator mississippiensis (American alligator)
Lineage: Eukaryota; Metazoa; Chordata; Crocodylia; Alligatoridae
Gene name: SCAN domain-containing protein 1-like
Exons: 5
Source: RefSeq, a predicted model, not a curated record
CGCGUGCGCCGCUGCCAGCUGGGGGUGGGGACGCGAGUGCAGCCAGCCGCUGUCCCGGGCUGUGCGCGGACGGAGGGGCCGGUGCGCUGCGCUGCGCGGAGUGGGGUGGGGUGUCGGGGUCCUGGGUCUGCCCCCGCGCGGUGCGAUGUGCCCGGCUCCUUCCCCGCAGACAGGCCCGGGCCCGACACCGCCAGCGCCGGCCGGACGCGCAGGAGCGGGGCAGGCGGGAAGAGUCCCUGGGCUCGUCCCGGCUGGGGCUGGCGGGGCGUCCCCCUCCCCGCCGUGCUCGGCACCGCAGACAGUCGGACAGCAGGUGCUGGAGGAGCCGGUCGAUGGCCAGGAGAUGCAGGGCCGGGAGGUGAAGCAGCCCCCGUCUGAGGCGGAGCUGGACUUGGUGACCCCCCCGCCGGCACCGGGGCACGACCUCCCCGCCCCGCACGCCUGGCGCCAGCGCUUCCGGGGCCUCCGCUACCGGGAAGGCGCGGGGCCGCGGGAGGUGUGCGGCCGGCUGCGGGAGCUGGCCCAGCGCUGGCUGGAGCCCCAGCGCCGCAGCAAGGAGCAGAUGCUGGAGCUGGUGGUGCUGGAGCAGUUCCUGGCCAUCCUGCCCCGGGAGACGCGGAGCUGGGAGUGGGGGCGCGGCGUGGAGACCUGCGCCCAGGCCGUGGCCCUGGCCGAGGGGGUUCAGCUGGGGCAGGAGGAGGACGAGACGCUCCAGGUCGCAGCGAGCGUGACGGUUGAGGAGGAUUCCACGGACAAGAUGCAGCUCGUGGGGGCGUUGCAGGAGCCUGGUGAUUGCUGGCACCCAUCCUACAGACAUGUCUCUGGAGGAGGCAGGACAGAGGGAAACCCCAGGGCCUCAGGACAAGACACCUCAUGUCCUCAAAGAGGAGACCCCACCUGACCAGGAGUCAGGUGCUUACCAACCUAUUUGAUGUCUAAGAUUCCCCUAAAACAGGAAACUUGGGACUGGUCAGCAGGUGAAAGUUUCUCAGGCUGGUGCCCCGGACAUAUCCCCAGGAACAGCUGUGGGAUGCCUUUGAGGAUGUGGCUCUUCGUUUUGCACGGAAGGAGUGGGAGGUGCUGGAGGAUGAAGACAAGGUACUUUACCGGGACCAGAUGCUGAGGAAUUACCAAGCCCUCUUUUCCCUGGAUAAAGCUCUGGUUUUUGCUUAUCCCUAGUGCUAUGUGAACUCUGAAGUGUGUUGUUUUCUCUGUGUUUUUCAAGCUUCAUGAACUUUUGGCUGGUGGUUAAACCUACUGCCUCCCCACUGCUCUGUCAGUAAUCAGGCCUCUCUCAUAUUUAUAUCCUCCUUCAUUUGAUUCAGCUGCCUUCCCUUGAGUCUUCUCUAUUCUUGUAACUCCUGGUGCUUCCAUAUUCAGCAGUUUCUUGGCAGCAUGCUCUCCCUUUGCCUUCUCAGCAUAUUCACAUCAUCUCUAAUUCAUUGUCCAUAAAAACUGACUGACAGCUCUUCCUUGUAGAAUUAUUCUGAUUUCCUCCCCCUUUGGCCUAGCGUCUCCGGUCCAAACACAUUUAAGAAUCAGCGUGCUGGAUGCAGUGUUGUCUAAAUCCUCUUUCUCCUCCUUCGGUUCUUACCAGGCAGAAGUUAAUGGAAGUUUUAUCAGCCUAGGCUGCUACAGCAUGGAUUUUGCAUUUCCUCACCUCUUUCUUUAGUGACAUACGUACACGUGAUUAACCCCAGGUACUUCUAGAAAGGAGUCACUGGAAGCUUCUGCCCACCAUCCUUCCUCACAUCUUCAUCUCCAUAGACCCCUGACUCUGGCUUCGCUGUACUUGCUUUGAGACCUGAGCUCUCAAGCUCACACUGCCAUUCUCAACAGUUUCUUUGUCCUCCUCCUAAACUCCUUCUGCAUGUCUGACACCCAUCCCUGUGAUAAAAAGAGCUGGGCUCGGUGCAGGGCCUAGUGAAAACCCGUUUUCAUUUCCAAAGGAUCUCUAACAUAAGAGUUCGUUUUGGCUUGUGUAGAGGUUGAGAUUGAUCUUUUAUUGGGUCAGUUUGUUUUUCUGGUGCUUAUUUCCCUCAAAGGACUUCCUUAGGGUAGUUUUCAAAGUCUUUUUCUAGCCAAACAAAGACCAUAUAGGGGUUUUUAUUCUUUUCUGUAAUUAUCUUGAAUAUGUCAGAGGAUUUUUGCACACUUCUAAAAACAUACUGAUUAUUACUCAUGUUAAUCGUCCUCUUGAGUUCAGCUGCAAUAACUUUCCUUACCUUUUGCAAGGAGUGGCUAAGUAACUGUUCUCCAGUCAUUGGUACAUUGGUAUUUACUAGCUAUAUCUUUGAACAAGAAAUGUGAUAUUAUAUUAGUCACCUUUCACCCCUAAUCUGUUAUCUUGUUCAUUUUCUAGAUGAAAAACACUAAUUCCCAGCCUGUUACCCUCCUAGUAUUUCAGGAUCUUCCACUGACUAGGUUUGCACCUCUCCUGGUUACCCAUUUUUCAGUUUACUACUCUCCUAAUUUGCUCUGCACUCUCCCCUGGCAUUCUAACUUUAAUUUACAGUGAGUGCAUCCACAUGAGACACUACUGCACAGUUGGCCAAUUUAGUGUGCAGUAAGUGUCGUCAUCUUCAUGUUCAGACUCUUACUGCACAGUAAAUUGGUCUACUCUAUGUUUAAUUUGCUACCUGCAAAUGGAGGUACCAGAUUAACUUCCGAGAAGUUACAGUACAACCAGGCACACGUAGAUAGCCAAUUUGGAGCAAAUUUGCUCCGUCAGCCAGAUAGCAGGGGGCAGGAGAUUCUCAGGCCGGGCUCCACCACUGGAUAUUCUUCAUCCAUAAGUGUGUCCAAUGCCUCCUAAUUUUGGUCUGUUUUCUAGUACCUCACACAUCACUGCAUCAUCACUUGCACCCCUGUCCCUUGUGACUGUCAGUUUCCAACCUUUUUUAUAAUUCAGAGUGGUUCGUACUUUGUUUUCUAUGACUAUCCCUCCAAUACCUCACUGACAGGGACCAUCAUCUAUUGAAAGCUUCUCCCUGCAGUGCCAUCUCUUUCAUCUUAAAUGCCCAUCCUCUCUUGUCCUUCAGGGGCCUAAUAGAAUCCUUCAGUUGAAGGGAUCCAUUCCCAAAUUCUGGUUUGUUCUUGUCCUUCCAGUACACAGUCACAAACCCUCUUUAACCACUGCCCCAAAUAGGAUAUCGAGGUCCCACACCUGACUUAAUCUGCCGCAUCCAGCGAGGAGAGGUGGAGCUCUGGGUCUGUGAGGAUGAGGACCAUGGGGAAAUCUCAAGGUCAGAGGAGCUGCUGCCAGAUGCUGCUGUCAGGACUGCCAGAGAUCAAAAGCAAACACGAGAGAGCAAUAUCAUAUAUGCACUUUGGCUUCUGGAGCAUGUGAGCCCAUUCAGGUAGGGUGCUUGGCAUCAUCUCCCCCUAGACCCACUUGUGUUGUGGGAUAUAGCAGCCCUUAGAAAUCCUCAUUCUUCCUUUAAGCAGAUUCUUUGUUGUCUCAUCCUCAGUCCAUUUGAGCAUGAAGCCAUUCACAUACUGUUCUGAUGCAUAUGUCCCACAUGUGUUUGUCCAGCAGGGUCUGAGGUGUGGGGGCUGACAGCUGGGCCAGAAACCCUGGGAAUAUGGCUCUGAAAUCUACUGAGUAGGGAAUGUUAGCAUGGCACAGGGACCUGCCCCUUCCUCACGCACAGAGCUUAGGGUUUGGAAGGAAGACCUUGUUUUCUUAAGGAAACAGGUGGCAAUAUCCAGUCCUGCUCAGAGGCCCAUCCCAGCAGAAGGAAUAGCAGUGUUGGCCUUUUGCCUGCAGGGCAGGGACUAAUCUGGAGUUUCUCUUCCCC